Long non-coding RNA from Hyaena hyaena (striped hyena), 252 nucleotides. RefSeq lists it as uncharacterized. The record is from RefSeq and is a predicted model, not a curated record. The transcript is spliced from 3 exons. Lineage: Eukaryota; Metazoa; Chordata; Mammalia; Carnivora; Hyaenidae.
GAAGCUACGCCAGGAAUAGUACGCAAGGAAUUCACUGGGUAAACUGAACAAGGACUCACUGAGUUUAUAAAUCCAAUGUUUAAUAUCACUUUAUGGAGGAAAAAAUUCAUGUUCAUUUAAACCAAGGAUUACAUAUGUGUCUAAGGAAGAUCUUCAGAAUCGAAGGACAGAAACUUAAGGACACUUCUAACGCUAGUUUCAUCUCCACAUGACUGCUGUCACCAUCUACUUGCCGAGCCAGACUAAACCGGG